Molecule: ribosomal RNA, 684 nt
Filed under: Stenotrophomonas maltophilia
Lineage: Bacteria; Pseudomonadati; Pseudomonadota; Gammaproteobacteria; Lysobacterales; Lysobacteraceae
Description: bacterial SSU rRNA
Rfam family: Bacterial small subunit ribosomal RNA
Source: RNAcentral
UAAGUGAAGAGUUUGAUCCUGGCUCAGAGUGAACGCUGGCGGUAGGCCUAACACAUGCAAGUCGAACGGCAGCACAGAGGAGCUUGCUCCUUGGGUGGCGAGUGGCGGACGGGUGAGGAAUACAUCGGAAUCUACUCUGUCGUGGGGGAUAACGUAGGGAAACUUACGCUAAUACCGCAUACGACCUACGGGUGAAAGCAGGGGAUCUUCGGACCUUGCGCGAUUGAAUGAGCCGAUGUCGGAUUAGCUAGUUGGCGGGGUAAAGGCCCACCAAGGCGACGAUCCGUAGCUGGUCUGAGAGGAUGAUCAGCCACACUGGAACUGAGACACGGUCCAGACUCCUACGGGAGGCAGCAGUGGGGAAUAUUGGACAAUGGGCGCAAGCCUGAUCCAGCCAUACCGCGUGGGUGAAGAAGGCCUUCGGGUUGUAAAGCCCUUUUGUUGGGAAAGAAAUCCAGCUGGCUAAUACCCGGUUGGGAUGACGGUACCCAAAGAAUAAGCACCGGCUAACUUCGUGCCAGCAGCCGCGGUAAUACGAAGGGUGCAAGCGUUACUCGGAAUUACUGGGCGUAAAGCGUGCGUAGGUGGUCGUUUAAGUCCGUUGUGAAAGCCCUGGGCUCAACCUGGGAACUGCAGUGGAUACUGGGCGACUAGAAUGUGGUAGAGGGUAGCGGAAUUCCUGGU